GAUGAACGCUGGCGGCGUGCCUAAUACAUGCAAGUCGAGCGAACAGACGAGGAGCUUGCUCCUCUGACGUUAGCGGCGGACGGGUGAGUAACACGUGGAUAACCUACCUAUAAGACUGGGAUAACUUCGGGAAACCGGAGCUAAUACCGGAUAAUAUAUUGAACCGCAUGGUUCAAUAGUGAAAGACGGUUUUGCUGUCACUUAUAGAUGGAUCCGCGCCGCAUUAGCUAGUUGGUAAGGUAACGGCUUACCAAGGCGACGAUGCGUAGCCGACCUGAGAGGGUGAUCGGCCACACUGGAACUGAGACACGGUCCAGACUCCUACGGGAGGCCGCAGGAGGGAAUCUUCCGCAAUGGGCGAAAGCCUGACGGAGCAACGCCGCGUGAGUGAUGAAGGUCUUCGGAUCGUAAAACUCUGUUAUUAGGGAAGAACAAAUGUGUAAGUAACUAUGCACGUCUUGACGGUACCUAAUCAGAAAGCCACGGCUAACUACGUG
Molecule: ribosomal RNA, 497 nt
Filed under: uncultured bacterium
Lineage: Bacteria
Description: partial 16S ribosomal RNA
Rfam family: Bacterial small subunit ribosomal RNA
Source: RNAcentral